UCUCCGUUGGUGAACCAGCGGAGGGAUCAUUACCGAGUUUACAACUCCCAAACCCAAUGUGAACUAUACCUGUCUACCGUUGCUUCGGCCGGUUCGCCCGCCGAGGGAACGACAAAUAAACUCUUGUAUUCCUAUCUUUAGCAUGUCUGAGUGGAAUCAUAAACAAAUGAAUCAAAACUUUCAACAACGGAUCUCUUGGUUCUG
This 204-nucleotide unclassified non-coding RNA is filed under the name plant metagenome. RNAcentral describes it as "partial contains small subunit ribosomal RNA, internal transcribed spacer 1, and 5.8S ribosomal RNA". The record is from RNAcentral.